UUAAAUAAAUCUAAAUAUAGAAUACUACUGUUAAUAGUAUUAAGUUAUAACUUAAUAUAACUAUUUAAA
This 69-nucleotide transfer RNA is filed under the name Bilobella aurantiaca. RNAcentral describes it as "tRNA-Asn". Lineage: Eukaryota; Metazoa; Arthropoda; Collembola; Poduromorpha; Neanuridae. The record is from RNAcentral.